RNAcentral lists this ribosomal RNA (585 nucleotides) under uncultured Sediminibacterium sp. RNAcentral describes it as "bacterial SSU rRNA". It matches the Rfam family "Bacterial small subunit ribosomal RNA", at positions 319 to 907 of the family's 1533-position model. The record is from RNAcentral. Lineage: Bacteria; Pseudomonadati; Bacteroidota; Chitinophagia; Chitinophagales; Chitinophagaceae.
CUGCAGGUCGACGAUUCCUACGGGAGGCAGCAGUAAGGAAUAUUGGUCAAUGGACGAAAGUCUGAACCAGCCAUGCCGCGUGAAGGAUGAAGGCCCUCUGGGUUGUAAACUUCUUUUAUAGGGGACGAAAAAAGGGAAUUCCUUCCCACUUGACGGUACCCUAGGAAUAAGCACCGGCUAACUCCGUGCCAGCAGCCGCGGUAAUACGGAGGGUGCAAGCGUUAUCCGGAUUCACUGGGUUUAAAGGGUGCGUAGGCGGGCAGGUAAGUCAGUGGUGAAAUCCUAGAGCUCAACUCUAGAACUGCCAUUGAUACUAUCUGUCUUGAAUAUUGUGGAGGUAAGCGGAAUAUGUCAUGUAGCGGUGAAAUGCUUAGAUAUGACAUAGAACACCUAUUGCGAAGGCAGCUUACUACGCAUAUAUUGACGCUGAGACACGAAAGCGUGGGGAUCAAACAGGAUUAGAUACCCUGGUAGUCCACGCCCUAAACGAUGGAUACUCGACAUACGCGAUACACUGUGUGUGUCUGAGCGAAAGCAUUAAGUAUCCCACCUGGGAAGUACGUCCGCAAGGAUGAAACUCAAAGG